Molecule: non-coding RNA, 70 nt
Organism: Trichonephila clavipes
Lineage: Eukaryota; Metazoa; Arthropoda; Arachnida; Araneae; Nephilidae
Source: the annotation of a GenBank genome assembly
GUCUCUGUAGUGCAAUUAGUAGUGCGUUGGACUUCUAAUCCAAAUGUGGGUUCGAAUCCCACCUGGGAUG